UAUGACAAACUAGUGUCAAAGUGUUUCCUGCACCCCUUACCGUGGAGAUGUGCGCCAGUGAAGUGCGACGAGAAGGUUAGAGCGGGGGAAGAUUAUGCUUUCUCCCUCAGUACCGCAAGCCGAAGUGAAAAGUAAAGCAACAAUAGUACUCUCGUCUACUGUUAUACUCUAACGUAACCAUGUUUGCAGGUAUUUGAGGCUCUGUCUACUUUGCUUGACAUUUACUAAUGUUUUGCUACUAUUUUAGGGACGCCGCCUACGAGAUCUAUGACUUCGAGUCUAUAUGAAUUUGCUGAUUCGCUGAUAUUCGCAGACGAGAUCUAUGACGUCUAGUCUGUAUCAACCAUUUAUUGCAGAUCGUAAUCACGCAAAUUGUCGACGAUGCUGGUGAGGCAGAUGAAGUCCAGCAUUCUACAACAAUAACAAAAAGUUUGCAACUUAAUUAUUGUAAGUCUUUGACAGUGGCAAAGACCAGUCCCCAGAGACAAAGACCCCUGGCAAAGACCAACUCGGAGGGGUUAGUAGAUUUAGCAAUGCAGCUUUGCUAAAAAAGCGUGCAAUAUUGAUGAUCCUGAUACUGAUCCUAUCGCGUCAAAAACGCGAAAAACAAACAAUAGAAAAAUAGCAAAAGGAACAGAAAGGAAAAACGACCAAUAGUUGCAUUGUUCGAUAGCAAUUUGAUGUAAAGUAGAUGGACAAGAAGAACUACAUAGUCAAAUCACGCCAACAAUAGGCUUAGUGCACACCAUAAAGUAAAUAUCUGUUAUAGAAGUAAGAUUCGGUACUACAGCGUAGGCUGUUCAACCAAUUCCGAGCAUGUUUACAAUAUUUUUAUUCUUAUACCAAUUCGCACAGUAUGCGGCUUGUUCUGAGAUAUGCAUGUUUUGCAGGGAGGGGCUGAGGACUUUAAAAAUGCUGUUCUGUUAGGUACCUUGUUAGCACACAUGCUUUCAAUGAUAGAUACUUUCACUCCAGUACCGAGUGUAUUAUUCCGUUUUAAUAUGCGCUAGAAGUACAAACAAACCCUUCUUUUAGCGACAUGUGUGAAAUAUUUUCUUCUAUUUUACUGCUGAUGCUGUUUUUGCGGCGCUCUUUUCGGCAUAUCCCGUUACAUAAUGUUAAGCACAGUCCAGUAGACCGGAGACCUUUGCCUUCUUUAGUGGACUCACUCACAUCAUAGACUCACUAGGUCGUACUAGAAUAGUCAUGGGGCAUGUUUUAUUUAGACCGCCUUUCAAAUUUCACAGUACGUCUACUUGUUUCAAUAACGAGAAACGCGUCAACGGACACUAAAGAGUCUCUUGGACGUUUUAAUAAGGGUUGUUGGAAGGUGUUGUACGGUUUCCAAAAGUCGUGUUUAUCAUUUUAAUUAAGAAUGGCAACUCGUUCAUGCAUUUACUGUUAGAAUGUGUGUCUGAGACAAAUAUCAACCACUCAUAAUAAGUUUUCCCAAGUUUUGUAUCUAUAUUGGCUAACCUAGCCGUGUUUGUUCUAUUGCAUAUUUCCUGUUCAGGUGCUUUCCUGGGAACAUAGGAAAUGUAUCAAGUGAAACUAUGUUAUUAAGCUUUAGAUAAUCUGGUCGAAGUCUUUAUUUAGUUUGAAUAUUAUUAUUCUUUUGAAUUAGCAAAAAGUAUUGCAUGGCGAAAUCGAAUUGUAUAUGACUAUUGUUCGGAUUUGUCCUUCAUGCCACGCCAUAGCUCGUCUUCUUUCUUAGCGAUCUCUGUCACUGGUAUAAAUCACUUGUUCCAGUGUAGAGUUUGUCUCAUCUUCCUGAUAUUUGAGUAUUGCAUCGCUAAGUUUUGUACACGCACUAGCAGUUGCUCCAGUUCUUCGAUGGUGAUGCACCACCAACGAUGCAUUUAGUAUUGCAACUCUGCAAGUGUCAAGAAUGUGGAAUAUUUUCUCUUUUGUGAGUUAGAAGAUAUUUUCGGAAGUUUUUGCUUCAAUAUUUUACUGCAAACCAAACACUUUCUGCUGAUGGUUUUGCCAUUGUGAUUGCAGCUUUUUUGAGAAUGGUGAUGUACAUCUUUUGAUUGCUCAUCUUCAACGACUCGUGAGCCGGGAUGCUUGCACACGUUACAUACCAUCACGUAUAGAGCCUUAAAAUAUGAACAGUUUUAUGAUACAACCACUUACAUUUUUGUCCGUUGUGCGGUUUUCCGCGUUGGCUUUUCCGAUACUUUUGUUUGAUUUGCACAGGCAAGUGUCUAAUGCCAUUUUGGUGCAUUACUUUUGUGUGUGUGAGUGUGGAUGUUGAUUUCACUAACUGAUAUAUUGAUUUAUAUCGUAGUUGAUCGUGUUGAUGAUUAUAAUUUUCCUUUACUGCUUUUCCAUUUGUUCAUCCGCAGAACUAGAAUAAUGUUAACACUUUCUCAAUGAACACCCACUUUUAAUGAAGAAACUUCAAACACAAUUAUCGUCUCUUCGAAGGCCUUAAGGUUGAUGUUUGUCGAUGGCUUUGAUAUGUUUGUGGUGUUUUAUUGCUUCGACUUUCGUCUAUUUUAGUGCCGAUACUGUUUGUGCGGUGUUAUUUUCGGCGUAUACCUCUCUAUGUAUGAGGAAUAGUAGUCUCACCACAGUCUGGCAACUCGUUCAUGCAGUCACUGUUAGAGUGUGUGUCUGGGAGAAAUAUC
Molecule: long non-coding RNA, 2633 nt
Organism: Anopheles gambiae (African malaria mosquito)
Lineage: Eukaryota; Metazoa; Arthropoda; Insecta; Diptera; Culicidae
Exons: 3
Source: RefSeq, a predicted model, not a curated record